RNAcentral lists this ribosomal RNA (498 nucleotides) under uncultured bacterium. RNAcentral's name for it is "partial 16S ribosomal RNA". It matches the Rfam family "Bacterial small subunit ribosomal RNA", at positions 899 to 1397 of the family's 1533-position model. The record is from RNAcentral.
ACUCAAAUGAAUAGACGGGGCCCCGCACAAGCGGCGGAGCAUGCGGAUUAAUUCGAUGCAACGCGAAGAACCUUACCUGGGUUUGACAUAUGCCGGAAAGGCCUAGAGAUAGGUCCCCCCUUGUGGUCGGUUUACAGGUGGUGCAUGGCUGUCGUCAGCUCGUGUCGUGAGAUGUUGGGUUAAGUCCCGCAACGAGCGCAACCCUCGUCCUAUGUUGCCAGCGGAUAAUGCCGGGGACUCGUAGGAUACUGCCGGGGUCAACUCGGAGGAAGGUGGGGAUGACGUCAAGUCUUCAUGCCCCUUAUGUCCAGGGCUUCACGCAUGCUACAAUGGCCGGUACAAAGGGCUGCAAUCUCGCAAGAGUGAGCGAAUCCCAAAAAGCCGGUCUCAGUUCGGAUUGGGGUCUGCAACUCGACCCCAUGAAGUCGGAGUCGCUAGUAAUCGCAGAUCAGCAACGCUGCGGUGAAUACGUUCCCGGGGCUUGCACACACCGCCCGU